This 392-nucleotide ribosomal RNA is filed under the name uncultured marine stramenopile. RNAcentral's name for it is "partial small subunit ribosomal RNA". It matches the Rfam family "Eukaryotic small subunit ribosomal RNA", at positions 30 to 432 of the family's 1831-position model. The record is from RNAcentral.
GCUUGUCUCAAAGAUUAAGCCAUGCAUGUGUAAGUUUAAACGAUUCUAAACUGUGAAACUGCGAAUGGCUCAUUAUAUCAGUUAUAGUUUAUUUGAUAAUACUUUACUACUUGGAUAACCGUAGUAAUUCUAGAGCUAAUACAUGCGUAAAAUCCUGACUUCUGGAAGGGAUGUAUUUAUUAGAUUAAAACCAAUUCGUUUUCGGACGAUAUUGUGGUGAUUCAUAAUAACUUUCGGAUCGAUUUAUCGAUGCAUCAUUCAAGUUUCUGCCCUAUCAGCUUUGGAUGGUAGGGUAUUGGCCUACCAUGGCUUUAACGGGUAACGGAGAAUUAGGGUUCGAUUCCGGAGAGGGAGCCUGAGAAAUGGCUACCACAUCCAAGGAAGGCAGCAGG